This 355-nucleotide unclassified non-coding RNA is filed under the name soil metagenome. RNAcentral's name for it is "partial contains 5.8S ribosomal RNA, internal transcribed spacer 2, and large subunit ribosomal RNA". The stretch from base 1 to 120 matches the Rfam family "5.8S ribosomal RNA", at positions 35 to 154 of the family's 154-position model. The record is from RNAcentral.
GAUGAAGAACGUAGUGAAAUGCGAUAAGUAAUGUGAAUUGCAGAAUUCAGUGAAUCAUCGAAUCUUUGAACGCACAUUGCGCCCAUUAGUAUUCUAGUGGGCAUGCCUGUUCGAGCGUCAUUAAGUCCACUUAAGCCCUGCUUAGUGCUGGGAGACUGCUCCAGCGGUGCUACCCUGUAGCUACCCUGCAGCUCCUCAAAGACAGCGGCGGAGUUGUGGUAUCCUCUGAGCUUAGUAACUUGUUCUAGCUUUCGAGUACACCACUUCCCCUGCCGUAAAACCCUUAAUUUUUAAUGGUUGACCUCGGAUCAGGUAGGAAUACCCGCUGAACUUAAGCAUAUCAAUAAGCGGAGGA